This 514-nucleotide ribosomal RNA is filed under the name uncultured bacterium. RNAcentral's name for it is "partial 16S ribosomal RNA". It matches the Rfam family "Bacterial small subunit ribosomal RNA", at positions 28 to 523 of the family's 1533-position model. The record is from RNAcentral.
GACGAACGCUGGCGGCGUGCCUAAUACAUGCAAGUCGAGCGGACAGAUAAGGAGCUUGCUCCUUUGAAGUCAGCGGCGGACGGGUGAGUAACACGUAGGCAACCUGCCUAUAAGACUGGGAUAACUCCGGGAAACCGGGGCUAAUACCGGAUAGAUUCUUUCCUCUCAUGAGGAAAGAAGGAAAGAUGGUUUCGGCUAUCACUUAUAGAUGGGCCCGCGGCGCAUUAGCUAGUUGGUAAGGUAACGGCUUACCAAGGCGACGAUGCGUAGCCGACCUGAGAGGGUGAUCGGCCACAUUGGGACUGAGACACGGCCCAGACUCCUACGGGAGGCAGCAGUAGGGAAUCUUCCGCAAUGGACGUAAGUCUGACGGAGCAACGCCGCGUGAACGAAGAAGGCCUUCGGGUCGUAAAGUUCUGUUGUUAGGGAAGAACAAGUACGAUAGUAACUGAUCGUACCUUGACGGUACCUAACCAGAAAGCCACGGCUAACUACGUGCCAGCAGCCGCAGUAA